Molecule: ribosomal RNA, 465 nt
Filed under: uncultured bacterium
Lineage: Bacteria
Description: bacterial SSU rRNA
Rfam family: Bacterial small subunit ribosomal RNA
Source: RNAcentral
GAUGAACGCUGGCGGCGUGCCUAACACAUGCAAGUCGAGCGAGAUAUAAAGGACAGAUUCUUCGGAAGAUGAAGUUUAUUGAGAGCGGCGGACGGGUGUGUAACGCGUGGGUAACCUGCCCUAUGGAGGGGGAUAACGCAGAGAAAUUUAGCGCUAAUACCGCAUAAGCACACAGGAUCACAUGAUCUAGGGUGAAAAACUACCGGUGCCAUAGGAUGGACCCGCGUAAGAUUAGCUAGUUGGUGAGGUAACGGCUCACCAAGGCAACGAUCUUUAGCCGACCUGAGAGGGUGAUCGGCCACAUUGGGACUGAGACACGGCCCAAACUCCUACGGGAGGCAGCAGUGGGGGAGUAUUGCACAAUGGGCGAAAGCCUGAUGCAGCAACGCCGCGUGAAGGAAGACGGUUUUCGGAUUGUAAACUUCUAUCAGCAGGGAAGAAAAUAGACUGUACCUGACUAAGAAG